Molecule: non-coding RNA, 1258 nt
Organism: Prunus mume (Japanese apricot)
Lineage: Eukaryota; Viridiplantae; Streptophyta; Magnoliopsida; Rosales; Rosaceae
Source: RefSeq, a predicted model, not a curated record
UUUUUUAAAAACAAGUGAAACUGGUUGUUUGAGUUAACCGGUUAAAAUAAGGGAAAAAAAAAAAAUCACCCCUUCAAAACCUAGGACGCCUCGCAUGCACUGGGGCUGCUUCAUCUCUUCUCUGCGAUCUCUCUCUUCGGAAAUCCAAGCUUCAUCUAUGUCCCCAGAUUGGAAUCUGGGCGUCUCAUCUCUGCCCAGGCCGAGAUGCAACAGCCAGAGGAGAGGAGAUAGAGAGACAGCGGUGCUUCGAAGGCAAAAAGGUGUCAGUUCAGAAGACUAGGCCGAAGCUGACCUCGCCCACGUCCUCCGCCACUUCACUCGCGCUUUCAAGUACCGUGGCCUCGGAAACGAGUUUUUGGAGGUUAGAGAUUUGGGGAACUUAAUUGGGUUGUACACCGAAUGGCACUCACGUUUGCUCCCAUAUUAUUCUUUUGAUCAGUUUGUUCAUGAGAUGAGGUCGAACAGGUUGCCGCCACUAGACAAGUAAAAAAAAUUGAGAGAAAGAGUUGCGAGUGGAGGAGACCCGACAAAGUUGCAUGAACCAGCAGUCGAACAAGGCUCUCCAAGUGAUCAACAGGGAGGAACCCUCUGAGACUUUGCAUGGUGAUAUGGUUGCUCCUAGUAUAUCUGCAGCAGGUAGUUUUCAGAAAGAAUUAACCAAUCAAGUUCCAAAUAAUGAAGAAAUCAUGACAGAUGAACAGAGAGCAUGAAUGAAAGCUAGCAGAUUUAAGGUCCUUGAGAAAGAUGCAGCUAGGCGCCGCCAAUUGCAGUUAUGGAAGUUGAAAAAAGGGGUGAAGCGAAAGGAAAGAGCAAAGCCGAGAGUAAUGUACAAUAAUCAAGAGUUGGCGGGGAUGCAUUUUUUAAUUUCAUGAAAAAAGAACGACUUGAAAUGGGGAAAGUGGCCAAUGCAAAGUUGGACAGUAAGUCUCGACGGCUCAAACAAGUGGCAGAGGACGGGUCGGACUCGCUUGAAUCGUCUCAGAGCUGCGUCGGCCUUUCGGACUUGCAAUCGUUGUGUUGUCAUGGGAAGAUGCGUUAGAGUUGUUGGGUGGUGCUGCGUUCACGGCAGCAGCGGUGGCGGCACUAAUAUUCGGCGUUCAUACAGAACGUCAUCUACUCAACAAGAUUGCCAUCUUCUCCAAUUUCUAUUGCCCGUAUGUUAUUAUCUCUCUAUUGCUUGUUCAUUUUGGCUUUUGUGAUAAAUUUAAGGUAUUGGGAUUGGAAAUUCAUAAAGUAAUCAAAUUGGAAUUUGAGAAUU